This 403-nucleotide ribosomal RNA is filed under the name Verrucomicrobiota bacterium. RNAcentral describes it as "Verrucomicrobia bacterium partial 16S ribosomal RNA". It matches the Rfam family "Bacterial small subunit ribosomal RNA", at positions 355 to 776 of the family's 1533-position model. The record is from RNAcentral. Lineage: Bacteria; Pseudomonadati; Verrucomicrobiota.
UGGGGAAUAUUGCACAAUGGAGGGAACUCUGAUGCAGCGACGCCGCGUGAACGAAGAAGGCUUUCGAGUCGUAAAGUUCUUUUAUAUGGGAAGAUAAUGACGGUACCAUAAGAAAAAGCCCCGGCUAACUACGUGCCAGCAGCCGCGGUAAUACGUAGGGGGCUAGCGUUGUCCGGAAUCACUGGGCGUAAAGGGUUCGCAGGCGGAAAUGCAAGUCAGGUGUAAAAGGCAGUAGCUUAACUACUGUAAGCAUUUGAAACUGCAUAUCUUGAGAAGAGUAGAGGUAAGUGGAAUUUUUAGUGUAGCGGUGAAAUGCGCAGAUAUUUGGAAGAACACCGGUGGCGAAGGCGGCCUUCUGGGCCGCGACUGACGCUGAGGCGCGAAAGCUAGGGGAGCAAACAGG